UGCGCCCAUAGCUCAACUGGAUAGAGUUCUUGACUACGAAUCAAGCGGUUGUGGGUUCGAGUCCCGCUGGGCGCACUUA
Molecule: transfer RNA, 79 nt
Filed under: Peptostreptococcus stomatis DSM 17678
Lineage: Bacteria; Bacillati; Bacillota; Clostridia; Peptostreptococcales; Peptostreptococcaceae
Description: tRNA-Arg
Rfam family: tRNA
About the family: Transfer RNA (tRNA) molecules are approximately 80 nucleotides in length.
Source: RNAcentral